GAGACUCCGACUGUCCCGAAGGAGAAGCUGCGGCCGGAGACGCGCGUGGCCAGGCUGGUGCCGGGCAGAGCCACCGCCGGCCUCGGAGGGCGGGGCUCGCGUCCCCAGAGCUUCGCCGCCUUCAGGUUGCGAAGUGGGGCCUCUCCGCGUCCUUCCAUUUACACGGGAGCCAAUGACCGUGGUCCUCCCCACCCCACCGUGACCUCUGAUGAGGAGAGGAAGGGAGCAGUAUUCCAGUUCACCUUCUGUUUACUAUCCUCGCCCCGGACAAUCCACUGCCAGGGCUGCCCGACCCACAAUCAGCUUCGGGAUCAGAUGGGCUUGGUUUGGAUUCUGCUAGAGUUACUACCCGCCUUAGGCAGGUCACCUGGCCUCCCCGAGUCUCCAGCUCCAGACUGAAGAACAGUGUGGCUGCACCCACCCCCAGGGACAGCGCUUUGUGUGAGCCGGUGGUGAGGCUGAGCCCAGAGCCAGCUAGGCAAGGUGGGGGGACCUCGGCCCUUCCUGCUGAGACUGGGGGCCUAGAGGAUGUCAGAGUUUGCUCAGGCUCUGGGGCCUCAGGGAAGCACAGGGGCCUGCUCCUUGGGGGCCACCUGCAGGGUGUGGCCAUGGCCAUGUCGUCUGGUCCUGGGUGGGGCUGACUCGCCCCUGCUGGUGGCUGGCACACAGUAGGUGCUUAGACUUGGGACUUCUUAGGACUUCCUCCUGGAGGGGCUGGCGGUCUGGGGGUACUGCUGACAUUGCCGUGGGAGCACCAAGCCCUUUGCAGUGUCUCUCAACGUCAAGUCCUCCUGCCUUUGGCCUGACGAAGGCUCUGUGCUGCCGCCCUGGUCAGAGGGCUGGCUGCCACCAUGUGCAACUCGGUGAGGAAGGGAGCCUGGCUGUAAGGUGCAGUUUUCCAGGUCGGCUGACUUCCAGGCAUGGGGCAGGGAGGUAAGAAAGGCUGGGGUUCCUGGUGACAAGGGAGGAAGUUCCCUUCCGGAGCACUGGCUGUGGAGGCACAGGCAGCGGGCACUGCGUGGGGCAGAGACGCGUCCUGCCCACCCCCGGCUUUGUCUCUUCAUCCAGGGGGCUUUCCAGGGGAUCCGUCAGCCCUGGCCGUGGGCUCUCUCCCUUUCUAGGAGCCUAGCACACAGUAGGUGCUCAGCAAACAUUUACUAAAUGACCCAGCUUAGCUCGGCACCUUCUCUUUCUGCUGGGCAGUGGAGGUGCUGGAAGGAUUAUUCACCCCCCAAUGUCACUCGUACCCGCCACAGCUCCGCAGGUCGGCCUCUUGUCUGGGAACAUGGGUGGCCUUGGCCGUGCCUGGGAGGGAAACAGGGUUGCAAGAGGCGGGGGAGAUUUAGGCUUUGGAAGCUGGCCUCUCUGAGCCACUGCAGCCUGGACUUCUAGCCCUGCACCUCAGUUCUGCUGCAUCCGGUGUCCCCGACCAGCGCACGGCAGGAGGGAAAGCUGCCCGAGAACCACCUGGACCCUCGGCCUCCUCCAGCCGGUCACCACACGCUGGGCAGGAGCUGCUGGGGCCAUUCUGGGACGCCUGUCUACUGUCCAGGGAUGACCAAGGGCUUGACAGGGAGACAGGCCUCUUUCUGGAAGCCAGGGCUGGCUUUCCAGGACGGGGACCAGGGAAGGGCGGUGUGGCCCUGGGGUUCCUCCGCUGACCCUGACCUACCCGAGUGCUGACCCCAAUGGGAGUUGGAUUUGGCAGAGAAGGUGCUGGUGGCACUCAGGGGACUCGCCAUACCGAGAUGGGUCAUGGCAGCAGAACUCUGGGGUCCCGAGCCCUCACCUGGAUUGUAAAAUCCACCCUGAUCCGGCUUGUCCCCAGCCCCCAGUCUCCGGGCCCUCGCUGGCCUGCCUCGAUCCUGACCUGCUCAGGGUGCCGUGACCUUCUCACUCUGAGCUCCUUGUGGGCUGGUCAUUGUGGCUGGGGAGGGGAGGGAGGGGGAAGGGGGCGCAGAGGCAACAGUCUGGGGGCGUUCAUUUAAGAUUCUCCCAUGUUCCUUGGUGCCGGGAGCCGGUCCAUGCUUGCUGUUUCAAGGGACCUGGCAUAUAUGGCAUACUGUUCUUAAUAUGUUUGCUCACCUUCUUGGCACUAUGUGUUUUAACCAAGGUCUCUGA
This is a long non-coding RNA of Myotis myotis, 2121 nucleotides long. RefSeq lists it as uncharacterized. Lineage: Eukaryota; Metazoa; Chordata; Mammalia; Chiroptera; Vespertilionidae. The transcript has 3 exons. The record is from RefSeq and is a predicted model, not a curated record.